This 442-nucleotide ribosomal RNA is filed under the name Faxonius juvenilis. RNAcentral describes it as "Orconectes juvenilis partial large subunit ribosomal RNA". The stretch from base 80 to 442 matches the Rfam family "Bacterial large subunit ribosomal RNA", at positions 2048 to 2625 of the family's 2925-position model. The record is from RNAcentral. RNAcentral also lists the same sequence under 1 other name. Lineage: Eukaryota; Metazoa; Arthropoda; Malacostraca; Decapoda; Cambaridae.
AUUAGUUUUUUAAUUGAAGGCUAGAAUGAAUGGUUGGACAAGAAAUAAUCUGUCUUAAAUUAAGAUAUUGAAUUUAACUUUAAAGUGAAAAGGCUUUAAUGAUCUAUUGGGACGAUAAGACCCUAUAAAACUUUAUAUUUUAAGGUAGGAAUUAAUUUUAUUUUAAGGUUACUAUUUUAAAAUGUUUUGUUGGGGCGACAAGGAUAUAAGAAAUAAUAACUGUCUUUUAUUUUUACAAUAAUAUUUGAUUUAUUGAUCCUAAAAGGGAUUAAAGAUUAAGUUACUUUAGGGAUAACAGCGUAAUUUUCUUUGAGAGUUCUUAUCGACAAGAAAGUUUGCGACCUCGAUGUUGAAUUAAAGGUUCUUUAUAGAGUAGAGACUAUAAAAGAAGGUCUGUUCGACCUUUAAAGUUUUACAUGAUUUGAGUUCAGACCGGUGUAAG